This is a long non-coding RNA of Panicum virgatum (switchgrass), 1006 nucleotides long. RefSeq lists it as uncharacterized. The transcript has 3 exons. The record is from RefSeq and is a predicted model, not a curated record. NCBI's taxonomy places the organism in Eukaryota, Viridiplantae, Streptophyta, Magnoliopsida, Poales, Poaceae.
AAGAACUGACAUGUGGGGCCUGUAUACUAAUUUGUUGCGUGCUGGUAAAAAAAGGUAAGGAAAACCCUGCCCAUACUCGUUCUCCCCUCUGAAGCCUCGACGUCUGGCGGCGGCGGCUCUCCCAGUGAUUCGGCGAUCAACGAACAAUCGACGAGCGGAGGCGCGUGGAACCGGCGACGAGCUCACGGAUGGAGAGAUCACGGGAAGAACAGAAGUUGGGAAACAAAGGCAAGCUCACUUGGCGGCGCGGUUUGAAGCCAGAGCGUUUCAAGCACAGGCAAGACCCGGAAUUCUUCGCCGGAGUAUGCAAGAUGGCGACGCAGGCCAUCAGCGAAUUCUACGCUCGAGGAAGCACAACCAUGUUGCUUCAGAUGAUGUACAGGAACAGUUACUACAUGGUCCUCUAUUAGAAGGGUGCCGAGCUGUACUCGGCGAUGGAGACCGCCAUGGCCUCGGAAGUUCAGAACCUCUGGAGGGCUCUGAACGACGCCGCUCCGGCGGACGGCGGCGCCGCGUUCUUGCAGGAGCUGCUGGCCAGGUGGAAUCAGCACCUCGAGGCCGUCAUGAUGACCCGGGACAUGUUGCUGUACAUGGACUGGACAUUCGUCCGAACCAAUCGCAAGACGCCCAUUCAGGAGCUAGGGCUCCGCUUGUGGCGCGACCACCUGACCAGAUCCGACAAGGUCCGGGAGAGCCUCAUCGAGGUGGUGAAGCAAAGAGGAGGUGAGGACGAACUGGUGGCUGCUGUGAGCAAGAUGCUGACAGAGCUUGGCCCUUACGUUCCGGGCCUUUUCUUUGAAAGGGUAUAGCUUUUGUUAGCUUAAUCAGAAGAGUGGAUUGUGCCAUAUAUACUAGUAUGAAACUAGUGCUAAAUGAAGGGCAUCAGAAAGGAUGUUAUUGAAAAAAGAAAAGGAUGAAAAAUAGGGUCCUAUUCCUAUAGUACUAAUAAUCAGGGAACUUUUCUUGACAUGGUGAAAGUUUUGUCUUUGUGCUAUGAGAUUUGUUA